UCUGGGCUUUUUAUUGAAACCAGGCAGUCAAAAAAAUUCCAGUUCUAUUGGAAAAAGGACACGAGGAUGGUUUUUGCCUGUGUGGCAAUUUUCUUCUUCUUGCUCCCGGCGACAGCCUAUUCUUCUGCAGGACUUGAACAAUAAAGGUCUCAAACAAAGGCAGGUCUCACAGCUGGGGAAAGGACGCUUGAGGUCAGGGUUCCUUCCUUAACCCCCAGUGAGGUCAGUGUCAUGGGUUGUGCUGGUCCUGCUUUCCUGGGUGAGACUCUGCAGAGCCUGUGGGAGCUGCUUCACCAAGCCCAGGGGGAAAGGAAUUACAAGAUCUCCUGCAGUAUGGGGUUCACAGUGCUCUCAGACCAUUGGGAUUCAGCCCCUCAUGCUGCAGAGAGGCUGCUUCCACCAAGGCCCAUGUCAGCCCUGGGCUGAGGGACUCCCUCCACCACUCUAAUCUGACUCCUCUGCUUAAAAGUAAUUUUUAAGCCACAAUUUUAGACUUCCUGACUGUGUGGGGAUUUUUUAAACAACAUUUUCUAAGCCAAAUCCAUCAAAUUAGGAAAACUCACACAUACAGAAAUGCACAAAUAUAUAUUCUGUAUGCAGUUCUGACCACUCAAUAACACUUUUUUUCCCCCCCUUUGGACUCCACACACCCUCUUUAACAUGGAAAACCCAUUUGUCUACCUCACUGGAUACUGAGUGGAUAAAUACAUUAACUGCUUUGCAGCACGUUGGCCUGGUUUAUUCCUAGUCAGGAACCUCAGCAUAUCUGCACUUCAGCCAGACUCUGGGAAAUCAGUGAACCACGUAAACCACAGCACCGUGGGGAGACUGAAAUGAGCUAAUGCUCAGCUCAUACAAACCACGUGGUUAUUGAAACGCAGGAAAAGAAACUGAUGACAGAGCCAGGUAAAACUGGCACAAUUCAGUGUAUUUGUGGAGUUAAAACUCCUAUUUUCCAUGGCAAGGAAAGCACUGCAAUAAGAGACAGAUUAUCCAGUCUCAUAUGUGAGUUCAAGAAGAGGGCUGCAGUUUGGGGGGAAAAAGCUUCUAAGAGCAUGGGCUCAACUCCAAAGAAAUUGGUCUCGAUUUAGUGAAGAGGCUUGGACGUGUGUGAAACCCAAAUGAAUGGGCAGCAGGACCAGG
Chiroxiphia lanceolata (lance-tailed manakin) is the source of this 1143-nucleotide long non-coding RNA. RefSeq lists it as uncharacterized. The record is from RefSeq and is a predicted model, not a curated record. NCBI's taxonomy places the organism in Eukaryota, Metazoa, Chordata, Aves, Passeriformes, Pipridae. The transcript has 3 exons.